CGCCAGACUCCUACGGGAGGCAGCAGUGGGGAAUAUUGCACAAUGGGGGAAACCCUGAUACAGCGACGCCGCGUGAGUGAAGAAGUACUUCGUUAUGUAAAGCUCUAUCAGCAGGGAAGAAAAUGACGGUACCUGACUAAGAAGCCCCGGCUAACUACGUGCCAGCAGCCGCGGUAAUACGUAGGGGGCAAGCGUUAUCCGGAUUUACUGGGCGUAAAGGGAGCGUAGACGGUAGAGCAAGUCUGAAGUGAAAGCCCGCGGCUCAACUGCGGGACUGCUUUGGAAACUGUUCAACUGGAGUGCUGGAGAGGUAAGCGGAAUUCCUAGUGUAGCGGUGAAAUGCGUAGAUAUUAGGAGGAACACCAGUGGCGAAGGCGGCUUACUGGACAGUAACUGACGUUGAGGCUCGAAAGCGUGGGGAGCAAACAGGAUUAGAUACCCUGGUAG
Molecule: ribosomal RNA, 447 nt
Filed under: uncultured bacterium
Lineage: Bacteria
Description: bacterial SSU rRNA
Rfam family: Bacterial small subunit ribosomal RNA
Source: RNAcentral